Molecule: long non-coding RNA, 429 nt
Filed under: Ananas comosus (pineapple)
Lineage: Eukaryota; Viridiplantae; Streptophyta; Magnoliopsida; Poales; Bromeliaceae
Description: long non-coding RNA (ACOM_LNC033548)
Source: RNAcentral
CCUUUAGAACUAAAAAUUUUCUAAUACAUAAUUUUUUAAGGGUAAACUUUAAAUAUUAUACAUGUGGUUUCGUACUUUAUCACUUUAGUACUUUGUGAUUUAAAGUGUAUCAAGUUAGUGUCAUGUGGUUUCAUUUUUAUCUUUUCGUCAACUUCUCCGUUAAUAUUGCAUUAAAUUAUAUAUAUUUUAUUAAAUUAUAUAUAAAAAACUUCAGAUACCCCACCUAGGUUUAUCGAAUAUUCACUUUAGUACCUUUAAGUUUUAACUUUGUCACUGAUUAACAAAAAAAUUAGUGGUAUCGAUAGUAAAAAAGUAAAAAUAAAACCACAUAGCACUAAAUUGAUACACUUUAAACCACUGAAUACUAAAGUGGAAAAGUGUGAAAAACUACUAGGGUGGUAUUUGAAGCUUUCCUAUUUUUUAACUAUG